Molecule: ribosomal RNA, 497 nt
Filed under: uncultured bacterium
Lineage: Bacteria
Description: partial 16S ribosomal RNA
Rfam family: Bacterial small subunit ribosomal RNA
Source: RNAcentral
GAUGAACGCUGGCGGCGUGCCUAAUACAUGCAAGUCGAGCGAACGGACGAGAAGCUUGCUUUUCUGAUGUUAGCGGCGGACGGGUGAGUAACACGUGGAUAACCUAACUAUAAGACUGGGAUAAUUUUGCGAAACCGGAGCUAAUAGCGGAUAAUAUUUUGAACCUAAUGGGUCAAAAGUGAAAGACGGUCUUGCUGUCGCUUAUAGCUCGAUCCGCGCUGCAUUAGAUAGUUGGUAAGGUAACGGCUUACCAAGGCAACGAUGCAUAGCCGACCCGAGAGGGAGAUUGGCCAGACUGGAACUGAGACACGGCCCAGACUCCUGCGGGAGGCAGCAGCAGGGAAUCUUACGCGAUGGGCGAGAGCCUAAUCGAGCAACGCCGCGGGAGGGCUGAAGGUGUUCGGAUCGGAAAACGAUGUUAUUAGGGAAGAACAUAUGUGUAAGUAACUGUGCACAUCUUGACGGUACCUAAUCAGAAAGCCCCGGCUAACUACGUG